GCUCGCGGCCAUACCAGCCUGGGUACGCCCGAUCUCGUCUGAUCUCGGAAGCUAAGCAGGGUCGGGCCUGGUUAGUACUUGGAUGGGAGACCGCCUGGGAAUACCAGGUGCUGUAAGCA
Molecule: ribosomal RNA, 119 nt
Filed under: Salmo salar (Atlantic salmon)
Lineage: Eukaryota; Metazoa; Chordata; Actinopteri; Salmoniformes; Salmonidae
Source: RNAcentral